Long non-coding RNA from Olea europaea var. sylvestris, 1339 nucleotides. RefSeq lists it as uncharacterized. The record is from RefSeq and is a predicted model, not a curated record. The transcript is spliced from 3 exons. Lineage: Eukaryota; Viridiplantae; Streptophyta; Magnoliopsida; Lamiales; Oleaceae.
UCUCCUUCCUGCGUGCUCUCUCUCUCGGCUUCAUCACCUUUACCUUUUGCCAUUUUCUUUAGUGCAUACAUCUUGGUGAUAUUUCUCUCCUUUGUGGUGUUCUCUAAGUGGCAAAAGUUUUAGCAAUCGUAGGUGAAACCUUUGUAGUGUUCUUAGGUCAUUUGUUUUGGUAUUGGUUCAGAUUUUGGUAAACUGAGCCUGUAUAUCGACUUGGUGGUUGAUGAUUUCACUUCCCUACAGUGAUAAAGUGUUUCUAUCUCGAGUACUAUUAUUUUUUUUAAAUUUGUAAAUGUCACGUAUUAGAAAUUUUAUUGUGGUUCAUCGAAGAAAAAUUAUGCUUUUACAUGCACUAUGGAUCAAUUAAUUGCUUGUGAAGUUGUUAUUUUUCUCAGUUAUUCCUCGUGCUCGGCGCCAUAUUCUGCAAUCGAAGUCAUGAAAUCUCAUAGUCGGUCUCCAAGUUCAAUGAUUGGGGUACUAAGAGGUUCAAUCUCAGAUGAAGGUCGCAACCAAGAGUUUACAUCUCAAGUGUCAUCUUCAAUUAAAUCUCCGAGAUUUUCAAGUUCAUCUCCAAUGCUGAAUAACAGGAGAGGAUCAAGUUCACCAUCAAAUGCUUGUCUACAAUGCUCUGUUCCAUAUAUCAAUCCCAGUUUGAUUGAUUUUUUUGUUUUUGACGUCUUUGGCACUAUAUCGUGUUCUGAUAUGAUUUACUUCGGACUAAUGCUUCAUGUUUUUGUCCACUGUAGGUUCCAUCUUCAAGUGAACUUCCAAGGCCAAGAACUCGGACUCCACGUUCCAAUGGUUAGAUAGGAUUUGUUUCAGUCUCAAAACCGCCAUCUUCAAUUCAAGUUUUACAUUCAGCUGAAACUCCAAUGCAUCAUAAUCCAUCUUCAACUUUGAGUCGUGGCCCAAGACCCGGUCUGAUUUCCAGUGCUAAUGUGAUCACACCAUAUCAACUUUCAGCAGGUUCCCAACCUGAAUCCAUGCCUGAGAUCAAGCGAAAAUAUUACACAAUCACACUCUGGCUUAAAGAGGAAAGCAACAGAUUGUGUGGAGAGGAUGGAGCGAAGAUGCUGUGGUGUGGGUUAUUUCAUGUUCCCUGCAUGAACGAAAAUUGUUUUAAGUCACACCUCAGGGGUAAAAAACACACAGUUCGUGUUUACAAUAUCGAUAAGAAAAUGAAAGUUGAAACUUAGGAAGAGCUAAAUACGAAGAGACUCGUAAAGCAUGUCAAGAAACUGACUUUUCAUAUCUUGAAGAAGUACUUGAAUGCAAUGGUGAGUUUGUAAAUUCUUAUUGUUUCAGUAUCAGAGAAUUAUGUAAAAUUUGUUAAGUUGGCUUA